UACGUAGGGGGCAAGCGUUAUCCGGAUUUAUUGGGCGUAAAGAGAACGCAGGCGGUCUUUUAAGUCUGAUGUGAAAGCCUUCGGCUUAACCGGAGUAGUGCAUUGGAAACUGGGAGACUUGAGAGCAGAAGAGGAGAGUGGAACUCCAUGUGUAGCGGUGAAAUGCGUAGAUAUAUGGAAGAACACCAGUGGCGAAAGCGGCUCUCUGGUCUGUAACUGACGCUGAGGUUCGAAAGCGUGGGUAGCAAACAGG
This 253-nucleotide ribosomal RNA is filed under the name uncultured bacterium. Its description in RNAcentral is "partial 16S ribosomal RNA". It matches the Rfam family "Bacterial small subunit ribosomal RNA", at positions 524 to 776 of the family's 1533-position model. The record is from RNAcentral.